Molecule: long non-coding RNA, 299 nt
Filed under: Spirodela polyrhiza (greater duckweed)
Lineage: Eukaryota; Viridiplantae; Streptophyta; Magnoliopsida; Alismatales; Araceae
Description: long non-coding RNA (SPOL_LNC000676)
Source: RNAcentral
GAUUGUCCUCCAUGGUUCUGAACCACCAAAUCGCAUUAAUUGUGCUACUGGAGCAGCUUUACAGGUGAUCCAUCCUCUUUCACAUCAUGCACACUUGUAUAUGCUCUUGCAUGAUCCAAUGGCCAUCUUAUGACUGCCAUGACCUCGACCCAUGUACUCUUACAUGAUCCCAUGGCCAUCUUGUGACUACCAUGACCUCGACCCAUGUACUCUUACAUGAUCCCAUGGCCAUCUUAUGACUGCCACAGCCUCGACCCAUGUACUCUUACAUGAUCCCAUGGCCAUCUUAUGACUGCCAC